UACGUAGGGGGCAAGCGUUGUCCGGAAUCAUUGGGCGUAAAGAGCGUGUAGGCGGCCUUAUAAGUCGGCUGUGAAAGUCAAGGGCUCAACCCUUGAAUGCCGGUGGAUACUGUCGGGCUAGAGUGCGGAAGAGGCGAGUGGAAUUCCUGGUGUAGCGGUGAAAUGCGCAGAUAUCAGGAGGAACACCAAUUGCGAAGGCAGCUCGCUGGGACGUAACUGACGUUGAGACGCGAAAGCGUGGGGAGCAAACAGG
Molecule: ribosomal RNA, 253 nt
Filed under: uncultured bacterium
Lineage: Bacteria
Description: partial 16S ribosomal RNA
Rfam family: Bacterial small subunit ribosomal RNA
Source: RNAcentral